AAUAAAUGAAGGGUCAACAAUUUAUUCUAUUAAAUCACAAUUAACAUGUUUACCCUUAAAAGGUAAAUACAAUAUUUAAGGGUACAUUUUGCAACUUAACUUUGAACUAAACUGUAUUAGAAUA
Long non-coding RNA from Etheostoma cragini (Arkansas darter), 124 nucleotides. RefSeq lists it as uncharacterized. The record is from RefSeq and is a predicted model, not a curated record. The transcript has 3 exons. NCBI's taxonomy places the organism in Eukaryota, Metazoa, Chordata, Actinopteri, Perciformes, Percidae.